Long non-coding RNA from Sorghum bicolor (sorghum), 1662 nucleotides. RefSeq lists it as uncharacterized. The record is from RefSeq and is a predicted model, not a curated record. Lineage: Eukaryota; Viridiplantae; Streptophyta; Magnoliopsida; Poales; Poaceae. The transcript is spliced from 5 exons.
CGACCGUGCGGUGUACCUAGCUCCGCGCUCCCGAGCGCAUAGUCUUCCUCUCCUUCUCUUCCUGUGACUCGCGGACUCCUCUCUGAUCUCCCACAUGGACAAACCCUAGCACAGGACACCAGGCGAGCGAGGCCGCCUGCCCAGGACGUCGGCCACCACCGUGUCGGCACCUCCCACAUCACGAACACGGGUGUGGAUGAAGGAUUGAGGCAUGUGGCAGGUGACGCCCCUUACCCUCUUCCUUCUCCAACAGACGGCAUCUUGUCCGACCUUUGCUUACCUCCCUCUCUCGCCGCCGCCUGAUGAGUGGUGCGUCUCCUUUGACACCCUGAGGUCCGUCCACUUCGCGCGGCCGCUACUGAGUACUGACCACCACCCAAUCUAUCGACAAGGGAUCUGCAGGAGAUGCUCCCCUUUCCAUUUGUGUGUGGCAUUGACAUCGCCACGGCUCUAGGCUAGACCUACUGUUUUUACACGGCGCGUCUUCAAUCAAUGGUGAAGUUGUCUAUGGAAGUGGCCCAAUCCAGUGAUACAGAGAUGUCUGGUACAGAGUAUAGCAAAAGCAAGGGUGUGCACCAGUAGCAUCCUAGAAAACAGGGCUAAGUGCCCUAUUGAAAAGGCCCUCGUAACAGGUCACCAGUGGCUUGCGACAAUUUCCUGAUGCUUCUUGCAGAGAUUGUGCAGGUCAUGCUAGACAUGUGCUAUAUUUUGCAGGAGUCAUACGGUAGCUUCAAGGUAAAACAUAUAGAAAAUUGUACUUGUAGUGCAUUUUGGAGUAUUCCAUCAUAGACUAAUUCAAUCCUACAUCCUACUUCAAGAAUGUUAUUCUCAAGUACCAUUUAAUAAUGUGUAGCGGCCUGCCAAGGUUAAUUAUAUCCUUUUGAUAAUGUGAAGUUGUGUUUUUUUGAAAUAUAAGAGACUGAAUUUUCUCAUUACUGUUAAGAUAGGGAUAAUUAUAAGAAAAAUAGAAAAAGUCAUUUUGCAAACCUUUUUCCAUUUGGAAUAGUUCCAUAUAUAUAGUUUUCAAAAAUUUUGCCUCAUCUUUUAAUUUAUUUUAGAUACCUUUUUCUUUUACAACUUUGACAUUUGUGUAGCUGUUUUAGUCACCCAAGUUAGGUUCUCCUGAGAUCUCCAAGUUUCUAACAAUGGUUAAUAUUGCUAAUAUGUUAUCCUUUUAACAAAUCCUUUAUGGGGGUCAAGCACUCGCUCUUCGGUGCUCCAGCAGCUUAAGGAGUAUGAGAAUGGACUCGUGCUUGAAAAUAAUAGACACAUCAUUUCAAAGCCUACCUAUCUAACUGCAAACUUUUUAUGGCUAUCAAUCUCGGGUGUUGUGACCAUAACUGAUAGUGCAUUCCUGAUGGUGUGGUGGUGAAGCCAAUGCAAAUUGGUGGGAGAGAUGACUUGCAGUGUAAAUAGUCUUCAAUGCUAUGAUGGUCAGAUUAGUCAAACAUUUUACAAACUUCAGCACUAUGCCUGAGAAAUGUAAUCCAUUUUAAUGCCUAGAGUUAGUGAGUGAAUCAAGUUGUGUAAUUUGGGUGACCUAUGAGAAAAAUAAGUUCUGUGAGUAGCCAGAUGUACACAAUUUAUCUACGGAUUGUAUACAGUUUAUUAUCUACGAUGGAGAGCUUGAGAAAUAUUAUUUGAAAUCAUAAUGCGUAUGAA